Molecule: RNA transcript, 2703 nt
Organism: Malaclemys terrapin pileata
Lineage: Eukaryota; Metazoa; Chordata; Testudines; Emydidae
Gene: KHDRBS2
Gene name: KH RNA binding domain containing, signal transduction associated 2
Exons: 16
Source: RefSeq, a predicted model, not a curated record
AGGGGCAGAGGCACGCACGGAGCGAGCGGUGGCUGCGAGGGGCAGCGCAGGGCAGGGCACCCCGCUGGAGUUCAGGCCAGCUCCGUGCCGGCGGAGCGGAGAGACCCCAGGUGUACACAGAGGGGGAGGGAAUUAGGCAACAAUAAGCAGCCGGCCGGCCAAGCCACCACGCCACUGCAUCCGAGCAGCACCUAGGGCAGGCGGACGGUCCCAAGUGCAGAGCAGCAGCAGCGAUACUAUGGAGCAGGAGAAAUAUUUGCCCGAGCUGAUGGCAGAGAAGGACAGCCUGGACCCGUCCUUUGUUCAUGCAAUGCGCCUCCUGGCUGAAGAAAUUGAAAAAUUUCAGGGUUCUGAUGGGAAAAAGGAAGAUGAAGAAAAGAAAUACCUUGAUGUCAUCAGCAACAAAAACAUAAAGCUGUCAGAAAGAGUACUGAUCCCUGUCAAACAGUAUCCCAAGUUCAAUUUUGUUGGGAAAUUGCUUGGACCAAGAGGCAACUCCUUGAAGAGGUUACAGGAGGAGACAGGUGCAAAAAUGUCUAUCCUGGGCAAAGGUUCCAUGAGGGAUAAAGCUAAGGAAGAAGAACUAAGGAAAAGUGGGGAAGCCAAAUAUUCACACUUGAGCGACGAGCUUCAUGUUCUAAUUGAAGUGUUUGCUCCACCUGGGGAAGCUUAUUCACGUAUGAGUCAUGCCUUGGAAGAGAUUAAAAAAUUCCUUGUUCCAGACUACAAUGAUGAAAUCCGUCAGGAGCAGUUGAGAGAAUUGUCAUACUUGAAUGGUUCUGAAGAUUCAGCACGUGGACGGGGCAUUCGUGGAAGAGGAAUCCGGGUAACACCUGCAGCUCCAUCAAGAGGACGUGGGGGUGCGAUUCCUCCUCCCCCACCUGGGCGAGGUGCCCAAACACCUAGAGGGACACCAGUGACACGUGGAGCACUCCCAGUUCCUCCUAUAGCUAGGGGCGUUCCGACCCCUCGAACAAGGGGAACUCCAGCAGUUCCAGGCUACAGACCACCCCCUCCUCCAGCACAUGAGGCCUAUGAAGAAUAUGGAUAUGAUGAUGGAUAUGGGGGUGAAUAUGAUGACCCAAGCUAUGAGGCAUAUGAUAACAGUUAUGCCACCCAAACACAGAGUGUGCCUGAAUAUUAUGAUUAUGGUCAUGGAACAAGUGAAGAUGCUUAUGACAGCUACGCACAAGAAGAAUGGGCCACAACCCGUUCCAGCCUAAAGGCACCACCUCCAAGGUCAGCCCGAGGGGGUUACAGGGAACACCCCUAUGGUAGAUAUUGAAGGUCCUCCUCAUCUGUGACCUCAACUCAAAGACAAUUAAUAGCCUGUGGUCUCCACAUAAACAGCAACAAGACAAGGACACACAGGCAAUGGACAGCUAAGCAGCAGAUGAACUGAGAAGUGUUCAGGUACAGAGCACUUCAUUAUGUGCACGAACAGAAAUGCUUAAACAGAUGAAGCAGCUAUUUGCAUCUGAUAGGAACUAAGUGGGACAUUAAAUUAAUGCCAAACAAGUACCAUGCAAAGUUCACUUUUCAAGUCAGAUGCUGAUUACCCACAGAGAUCAGGAAGCAAUCCUUCCUCCUACACAUGGUUAUCCCACUUCCCCACACAGCUCUGCACAAUUGGCUGGGAGCAUUAUAGGAGUUUUCAGCUUCCUUGAAAGCAUCAGAUAAUGACCAUUCGAGAGACAAGAUCCUGGACUAGCUGGAUAAAUGGUCCUGAUUUUCAGAGUUGGUGAGCUUCCACAACUGCCCUUGACUGCAGGUGUAUCAGCAUUUCUGAAAAUAAAGCCUGAGACACAUAAGGAGGAUUCCAAUUGAUCAAGGUGAAAAGAGAGGAAAGACAUCAGCUGUUUUUUUUCAUACAAGGAAUUUAUAUGGACAGUGCUGGUUACACCAGGAGAGUUUCACUAUUCAGUCUGAAGAACAAAAUGAGAAUCAGUAAAAAUGUAUUUCCACCAAUAAGUAAAAAUCAUGAGAAUUUUUAAAUGGACAUUUUGACAUUCAAACUACAUUUUCCAAAGGUUAAUAAGACUGUAAAGUUGCAAGAAAUGUGUGACAAGCAAAUCAAAACACAGCAUUUUGAAAGGUCAAAAUGGGACAUUAUAUCCUUAUUAUCCCAAGAAUACAAGAGUGUAAUACCCUGGCACUAUUUGAAAAAAGAUUUUAAUCAAGAGCUGAAAAUGGAACAACUUUAUUUCUUUCUUUGACAAAGUUUAUAACAAGGCUGUGAAAUAAAUCUCUUCCUGUUGUAAUCUUCCAAGUGUGGAUCCUACUUGUAUGUCAAAGACCUAAACUAUAUGAAAGAGUCCAUACUCAUAUUAUGCAUUUCAUCAGUAUCUAUAACUAUAUACAGUGGAUAUCUUUUAGAAUCCAACAUUUGCCUUCUGAAAUCACACAUGCCCAUUUUAGCUGACGCAUUGCGUAUCUGUUUUACAUUGGCUCCUUCCUCAAGAUAUGGAGACAUUUUAAGGCAAAGGAAUUUACAGUGCAGCCAGUGGCUUAGUAGCAAACUACUAAACAUAUGAAACUGUCAUGAUCUGAUCUAGCGAGUUUAGUCAUUACACACGUGAAGACUCUUCCUCUAGGACUACAGGUCUGAGGAAACAAAAGCUAAGCUAUAAGAACUUGAAGUGUUACAUUUUUCAACACCUAAACAUAUCUUUAAGGCUCCUGUGCCCAAGACUAUUUUUAAUU